Cynara cardunculus var. scolymus (artichoke) is the source of this 1116-nucleotide long non-coding RNA. RefSeq lists it as uncharacterized. The transcript has 2 exons. The record is from RefSeq and is a predicted model, not a curated record. NCBI's taxonomy places the organism in Eukaryota, Viridiplantae, Streptophyta, Magnoliopsida, Asterales, Asteraceae.
CAUCGAAGAUCAGCCUAAAUCGCACGACUCUGUCCGGUUUCUGUGUAAAUCGAUCAUAGGCUUUCCGAUUUAAGCCUAAAUCGCUCAAGGCUUGAUCGGAUUUACCUAAAUCGCUUGGAGCUUGGCUUAGUUUCUGUGCUGUGUAAACCUAACUAGUCGGUUUAGUGUUUAUCGCUUACCACUGUUUCUAAAUCGCUUGUUAUAUCGCACAUCACAGGUUCUAUAUUGCUCAUCGUUUUCUCAUCUCAAAGCCUAAAUGAUAAAUCGGGCAUCACAGGCAAUCCCUUGCAUCUUCUGGAGUAGAGGGAAACAGCAACGUGCCAAGCUAGAUAGCAACAAAGCAUUCCUCUACUGGUUCUGUUAAUGAUGUUGUAUCAACUAAUAAGUCCAACAGCGCAAUUGAGUCUAUCAUGAAUAAGCCCAGAAUGACAUUUAAUGAAGAUGUUGAGACAUACAGAGAGGAGAGGGAUCUGUAAAGAAUUACUGCUACAAUUGGUAUGCACUGGGUGGGAAUGCUAAUACAGCCAUCAUUUGCUGGCACAGAUUCAUGCUGAUGAGACUAAAAGCAGUCUUCAGUUUGCAAGCCGAGCUUUGCAUUUGACCAUUAUAAUCUCUGUUUGAAUAUGCUGUGUGUUUCUUGAUUGUCAUCAGUUUGGAGGUCCUAGAUGUUAUUGAUGUGUCAACUGUUGUGAAGGCUAAUGCAAAGCAAGGAAGCACUGAUUAGCAUAUUGGAUUAUCUAGAUAGGGCUGUUGAUGAUAGCAUAACCUGGAGCAGCAGCCACAGAGAUUGAAUUAGCCUGAAGAUUGUCUUUUGCUUGUAGAUACUAUAGUGCUGGAUGUCUUCCUGUUACAUAUGUAGAAAAAGAAUUUUGACAUGAAAUAGCUUGUGGAAAGACAGAAAGUGUUGAAUAUGCAUGUGAUGUUGAUGGUAGUGCGUUUUCGUCUUCUCCCACUGAUCAACUUGCAAGUAGCAAAUGGAAUUUGAAGAACAGUUGUGUUAUAUGUAGCAACUAUAUGCCAAGGAAGUGUUAUUGUGUUUUGGUGGCUUUUGACUUGAUGUGUAAAUAAUAAAUUUGAUUCAAUUCCAUAUAUGCACACAUAAGACUUGUUUUGUUC